Molecule: long non-coding RNA, 1617 nt
Organism: Dromaius novaehollandiae (emu)
Lineage: Eukaryota; Metazoa; Chordata; Aves; Casuariiformes; Dromaiidae
Source: Ensembl
GAAAGUGCURCAAGCUGAACUACAUGGCAAGUUAACUUGUAUCAGUUGUUUUCUGCUAUUCUCAGGUAGUCAAGCGGUACCAAAUUUAUAACUUUCUUAUAAAUUCCUGUUCUAGCUUGCAAUAUACCAGAUUAACAGAGCGUAAGUUCUACUUAAUUUAUCAACAUAUGACUGUUGCGACUGAUUGACGUGCUAAGACUUGUUUCCAUGAGAUGAGAGCAGCAAAAUGCAGAUGACUUGAGCAUAGGAAGAUCUCAUUCCUUCCCCUGUCUCACCUUCCACCUCUGUGUUUUUCAGCCUUAGAGCUGGCUCCAUCCAGGACCAAUUCACAGAAGCUUUUUGUUUUUUCUGAUCAAGUGUAUGUAAGAUGAGAUACAAGUAUAUGUGAAAAAUGUACCCUGUCUGCACCACCCCUACCCCAUUCAUUCUUGCGCACACACUCGGCAAGUACAGUGCUAGUGUUCUUUGCCCCUUCUUCAGCGCUGCCUGAGCUGRAGUAGCAACCCAGGUCUUCAAGGCAGAGGAGGGACAAGGGCCUGGCUGUAAUGGGUGAAAUGAGCUGCUAGGAUGUGCAGAGGCUACUUGAGCCUGUUUGGAAAGAAUGAGGAGAGGAAGAGGGUGAGCACAGACUCCGGUUACUCUGGCUUUCUAUUAGAUCUGCUUCUGAGCUCACUCUGUUCAGGAGUAACUGAGUGAAAUUUAAUAGCCAGUGUACUCAGCAGCCAGAAUAGUGGAUUCAGUUGCUUCCUUCUGUCUUAAAUGCUCUGAAUUGAACUGGGGGGAAAACAAUCAAGUAUAACACUGUUCAGCAAAAUCCAUGAAAGAAAAUUUGUAAGGGGAAAAGAGAGCAAGGGAAAGUUGCUUGCCUCACUCUAUUCCAUUUAUACAWGGAUGUAUUUACAAGGUGGUAGUUCUAUUGUAUGUGCUUAUACAUGAGAAAAAUGAGAACUCUCUCUUCCCACCUGACAGAACAGGAUAAUAGGAUUAYAGAAGCUAAAAGCCUCUUGCUGGAGUUGGAGCAAUGCUGCAGUCGCUCAGACAACACUCUACUACACGCUACAGUAUGCGCCCCACAGUGAGUAACUAUUGUUUCUUCUGAUUUUGUUGUUGUUGUUCUGUUUUACUCCUGUCUCUCUGCUACCCUUUGAAUGCUAAAUAUACUACAGCUAGGAAGACCCUUAGGACUGCUCCUUAAAUAUUAGCCAGAAGUUAGGUUUUCCAACCUCAUUCAUUCUCUGCACCAUUUGUCAAGAGAUUCUAYAGUGGCUUAAAAUUCUCCUUUAGAAACAAUGCUUUUACCAUGUUGGUUUGAGAAGGAUUGAUUCUGUGAUUUCUGGGCAAGUUCUGCAUACAAGGGAAGCACUGUCUAAGACAACUGUCUAAGCUUUCUCAGCUACCUCUCUUGCCCAYCUUCAUUCCAUCACUUUUAACUUACUCAUAGAUAGAGGGCAAAAAUAAUGUCAAACAACAUGCAUAUAAUAUGGAAACAAGUUAUUGAAGGUUGAGUUGUAGUCAGGCACUAUUACUUUCAUUAUCAGAAUGUUUAAGGGCCAAUUCUAAAGCUUGAAUAUAUUUUGCUCUGAUAAAAUAAAACAGGCAUUUUAAUGAUCUGUUCCA